This 17545-nucleotide long non-coding RNA is filed under the name Elaeis guineensis (African oil palm). RNAcentral describes it as "long non-coding RNA (EGUI_LNC026616)". Lineage: Eukaryota; Viridiplantae; Streptophyta; Magnoliopsida; Arecales; Arecaceae. The record is from RNAcentral.
CUAUUGGAAGGUCCAUUGUGGGCAAAGCUCCAUCCCCCUUAAUGUCUCAAGAAUUUUAGUCCUAUUCAAGAAGAUAGUCAAUAAAAUUUUGAUCAGAUUUUAUAAAAUUUAAUACUAUUAUAUCAUAUUUUUGUCUCCAUCUAAUAAAUUUUUGUCUUAACUUUAUAUAUCUAUUUGUUUUAGUAUUUAUGAGUUUCUUUUUACAGAAGUCAAUUGUAGUUCUAAAAUCACAAUGAAUAGAUAUAAGAGGGAUGAGAGUUUGUAUCAAAAGAAUAGAUGAUCAUAAAUUUUUGAGCCACUCAGCUUCUAAGGAUGUGAUAUCAAGGGCUAUUAAUUCUACCUCCAUAGUACUUCUAGUUAUUAUAGUUUGCUUUAUAAAUUGUCAAGAAAUAGCAUUACUAUCAAAAAUAAAUAUAUAUCCAGAGGUAGACUUAAUAUCUAAAGAAUCAAAUUUCUAGUUAACAUCACUGUGUCCCUCACAUACAAUCGGAUAGCUAACAUAUCUAAGCUUAUAAGAAAUGGUGCCUUUAAGAUAUCGAAAAACUCUUUCUAAAGCAAUCUAAUAAGAUAUAUAGGUUUACUGGUAUACCUACUUAAUCUAGAAAUAGCAUAAACAAUAUCACGUCUAGUUCUAUUGCCUAGAUAUAAGAGUGAUCUAAUUAUUUGAGCAUAUCUUUCUUGAUUCACAAAGUUAUCAGUAUUCUUUACUUCUUGAACAUCAUGAUCAUAUAGUGUAGACAAAGGAGAAUGAUCAAAAUAUCCAAACUUGUCUAAGAUCAUUUGAGUAUAAUAUGAUUGAGUUAGAUGAUAAGAAUUAAAUGAUGUAUUAAUCUUUAUACCUAAUAUUACAUUAGUUUGACCAAAAUCUUUCAUGUCAAAGUGAUUUGAUAACAAAGUUUUGAUAUCAUUAAUUGGAUCAAUAUCUGGUGCUAGUAUGAAAAUAUCAUCAAUAUAUAGACAAAGAAGAAUGCAUUUAUCAUUAAAUCUCUUAUGAUAUAAACAAUUAUCAAAGUCAUUAAUUUGAAAAUCACUAGAAAGAAUAAUACUAUCAAAUUUUUUAUGCCAUUGCUUAAGUGCUUGCUUUAGCCUAUAUAAGGACUUAACUAGUUUGUAUACUUUAUUUUCUUGAACUGGCAUAGAAAAGGUAUCAGAUUAUCUCAUAUAAAUCUCUUCUUCUAGAUCGCCAUAAAGAAAGAUAGUUUUGACAUCUAUUUGAUGAACAAGAAGUUUGUGAAUAGAAGUCAAAGUAAGAACUUUGAUGGUGGAGAUAUGAGCAACAAGAGAAUAUAUAUCAAAAAAAUCAAAGUCAGACAUUUGUCCAAAAUCUUGAGCAAAAAGUCGAGUCUUGUACCUUUUCAUAAAUCUAUCUAUCCUAAGUUUUUUCUUAAAGAUCCACUUACAUCCUAGAGGUUUGCUUUCAGAAGGUAAAUCAGUAAGAAUCUAAAUAUUAUUCUCAAUAAUUGAUUCUAUCUUACUGUUUAUAGUCUCCUUCCAAAAGAGAGUUUUAGAAGAACUCAUAGCAUCUUAAUAAGUUGUCGGUGUUUCUUCAAUCAUGAAUGUUAUGAAUUCUUCACCAAAACUCUUUGCAGUUCUAGCUCUCUUACUCUUCCUAAGUUCCAAUAAAAGAUUAGGUUCUAAGAGGUUAUGAUCUAGUUGAAAUGUAGAAGAAAGAUUUGAUGAAGAAAGAAUUGAUGAAGAGUCAGAUAUUGAAGAAUAGUUAGAAGUUUGAUUGAAAACUCGAGUUUUGAAAAGAAAGAUAUUCUCAAAGAAAGUUGCAUCUCUAGAUUCAAUAAUAGUAUCAUUAAAGAUUUCAAUAAUUUCAGAAUUAACUACUAAAAAUCUAUAAGUAUUACUAUCAAGAGAAUACCCUACAAGGACAUCAUCUACAGUUUUAGGUCUAAUCUUUUUUCUUUUGGAUUCAGAGAUUCCAACCUUUGCUAGACACCCCCACACACGAAAGUAACUUAGCUUAGGUAUGUGUCCCUUCCAAAGUUCAUAUACAGUUUUUUCAUUAUCUUUAGAUGAAAUUCUAUUUACAAUAUAACAUGCUGAUAGAAGAGCCUCCCCCUAUAAGUUCUGAGGUAUACCAGAACUUAUAAUUAUGGCAUUAAUCAUAUCCAGUAAGAUUUGAUUCUUACGCUCAGCUAUACCAUUAGAUUGAGGUGAGUAUGGAGCUGUGACUUUAUGAAUUAUUUCAUACUCUUAACGGAAUAAAGCAAACUCAUUUGAAGUAUACUUACCUCUUCUAUCAGACCUUAUUAUUUUAAUCUUUUUUUCUUAUAGGUUUUUAGCCUCAUCUUUAUAAACUUUGAAUCUAUUAAGAACUUCAUCUUUGGUCUUCAAGAGAUAGGUAUAACAGUAUUUAAAAAAAUCAUCUAUGAAAGUCAUAAAAUAUCGGCUUUCUCCUCUAGUUGGUCUGCUAUUUGAGUCACAUACAUCACUAUGAAUAGGUUCAAAUUUUUGGAUAUUCCUAAUUGAGAUUGAUUUAAAAGAUUUUCUAGAUUGCUUGAAUUUUACAUAGAUUUCAUGAUUACUAUUAUCGACUUUGAUUUUAGGGGUUAAAUUUAAAUUAGAUAUUUUCAUGAUUGACAUAUGAUUUACAUGACCUAGCCUACCAUGCCAUACAUCAUAAAAUUCAGUAUUCAUCACAUAAGAUUGAUUAGAGACAAAGGAAUACUUACUAUUUAUUGAAAGAAGUAGUACAUUGAUCUUGAAAAGACCUCAGAUACAAAACCUUUUCUAAUAAAUAUUUUUCCUUUAGAGAUUACAACUUUAUUUGAUUCUAACACAACUUUAUAACCUGAUUGUAUCAAUAAAUAUCCACUUAUUAGGUUCCUACGAAUCUUGCAAACAUAUUGCAUAUCGUAUAGAGUUGAAGUCUUUUCAAAUGUCAGCCUUAGCUUGACAGUUCUAACUCCUAGUAUGUUGACAGACAUCCAAUCUCCUAUAGGUACACUUCUUUCACUUGAGUCUUGAUAGGAAUAAAAUCAAGCCCUAUCAGUACAGAUAUGAAUUUUAGCACCAGAAUCUGACCACCAAUCUAAGUUUGAGAAGAUAAAGUUAAUAAUAGGUAUAAAAGUUACUGAUCUAAAGAUAAGAUUUGAAGAUUCAGCCUCUAUCAUAUUGACUUGAGACUUGAGCUGGUUCGAUUGACCCUUCUUGAAAGUGGUGAUCUUUUUUUUUGCUAUAAUAACAAUCAGUGGCAGGAUGGUUGUCCCGACCACAAAUAUAGCAGAACCUGCCAUCAUUUUUCUUCUUAUUCCUUUUUGGUUGAUUAGGUUUAGGAUUGCCUUUAGGACCUUUAACUUUGGACCUAAAGUUCAUAAAUUUAGGUUUAUAGUUGUGGUUUUGAAAUUGUCUAGGCUGGUAGUGCUUAUUCUUAUCUUGAGAAUCGACCUCAGUUAAAUUUACCUUAGUUUGCAUCUGAUUCUCUUUAAUCUCUCUAAAUUAGUGUUGGUUUUCUAUUUUAAUAGAUUGGAUGACUGAUUAAAGUCUAAGAGUUCUUUGGGUUCUUCUAAGUUCUUGGGCAAACUUAAACCAGGAAGAUGGUAACUUAUCAAUUAGAUAAGAUAUUUGGUAAUUUUUAUCUAGCACAGGACCACCCCUAUGGAUCUCAUGGAUAUAAUUUUGAAAUUGAUGGAUUUGAUCAUUGCUAGGAACAUUAUCUAUCAUUUUAUAGUUAUUAAAAUCUAUUAUAGUGAAUCUUUGAGUAUCCUCAUUAUCUCUAAUGUAGGUAUCUUUUAAAGUAUACCAAAGAUCUUUAGCAGUCUUAUAUUUUUUAUAGGUCUCAUAUAAUUCAUCAAAAAGAUAAUUAAGAAUCCUAAACCUACAAAAUGAAACUCAAUUUUCUUUGGAGAUUGGUAUACUGCAAAUUUAGAAUCUGUGGAUUUGGAAGAAGAUCUUUUUAAAGGAUAGGGAAGAUUUUACCCUAUAGCUAAUAUCAAGUUAAAAGUUAUAAGCCAAGCUUCUAAAUAUUUUAGGCAUCCAACAAAUCUCGAGUCUUGAAUUUUUUUAGGCUUGAGACUAGAAGCAUCAUCACUAUCCAUUUUAAGAAAUUUAGGAGAGGGAAUUAGAUAAGAAAAGAUGAAAUAAAUGAGUUGCAAAAGAAAUCCAAAAAUUUUACUUAGUAUUUGCAUGAUUCUCAAUGAUCCUUAGAAUUUUUUUUUUAUUUUAACCUUUAAAAUUAUUAGAUUAAAUCCAACAAAAUGAUAAUUAUUAUAUCAAAAUUGUAGUGAGCAAAUUUUCAAGAACAGAACAAGAUAAUUUUAUUUAGAGAAUGCUAACUAGUUUUAAUUCCAAUAGAUUAACAAAAUAAAUUCUAUGUUAUUUGAUUAUCAUUUGUUAACUUUCUUAAAUAUAAUCCAGGGAAUUGCACCUUAGAAUGUUAGAACACAGCUUAUAAUAUAUGUCGGAUAUAGUCUAAGAAAGCUAACAAAUUCAGUUAUCUACUUUAUAGAAAAUCAAAUAAAUUAAUUUACAAAAGAUCGCUAAACCAAAAUUAAAAUGCAAUCGGAAACGUAUGUAGCAGUGUCCUAAGGUAUAUUUUCAUCAUUUAUGCAGAAAAUCUCGAAAACACCACCUCAAGAUAUGAUCGGUAUUCUUCGCCUACGAGCAUAAUUGUGGAGGAGGUUGCUGAAGACUCUUUUAGUAUCUAGAAAAAGAGAAAGAAGAAGAAUUGAUUGGAGAAAAAUAAGAAAGAAGAACAACAGAAAAAUUGAUUGGAAAAUUAGAAAGAAGAACAACUUGAGCUCAUAGAUUGCUUACUGGAUUAGGACUCAACGGGCUUUUUUUAUAGCCAUCAGAUUUUGAAUUUAUUUGGGUUAUUUAGCAUAAAAUGCAUAUGGUGAAAUGAGGGUUGCCAUUUUUCAAGGAUUCAUUGAAAGCCCUCUAGAGUAUUGCUUAAAAAAAAAGGACUACUAAAAUAAUUUAGCCAUAGCAAGUAUAGUAAAGCAAAGACAAAUUGUUUGAGAUUGCUUGGACUCCUUGUGGUUCAAAUUAAAAAGUAGGCUAUUUAUAGCCCAUCAGCGAACCCAACACUCCAACACAACUCUUAUCACGUACCCUUUCAGCAUGUUUCAAAUCCUCAACAAUCUCUUGGCAUUUUUUCCUUUUAUGACGAAUGUGAAUGGAGAGAGAUGACACUGUCUUGUCGUUCCUCUUCUUACUUGCCGUGGAUCCUCUCUGCAGUAUGUUCAUUCUGCCAUGUCGGCAUAAAUCCCUGAAGGGUUGGAAAAUCUAUGGAUUUGUAGUGGCACAAGAAUUGUAUAGUAUGCUGAUGAUACUAUUAUUUUUACAAGAGCAUGGAGAAAUCAUAUUGCAGCAUUGAAGCUAAUCUUAUAUUGUUUCGAAGCGUUGUCAUGUCCCUCCAUUAAUUAUCAAAAAAACUUUAUUUCAGGUCAAAAUACUUAUAGUUUAUAGGGUUAAUAAUUUUCGAUACUGCUUGUUGACACAGACAUGACACAACACGUAUUUAGAUGAAUUUAAAUUUAAAAUAAAUAGGUUCGAAUCAUAAAUAGAUUAAUCUAUUUAUGAUACGAUAAAAUCGUGUCUUAAGUGGAUUGACCCACGUAACCCAUUUUAACCUAUUUAACUGAAUGGUUUAAAAUAGAUUAAUGGGUUACACGGCACGUUUAAAUAUGUUUAAUAUGUUUAUUUUAAGAUUGCUUGAGGAUAAAUGAGAAAAAUCAAAAAAUUAUAAUUUUAACCUAAAACAAACAAUAAUGGAAUUCAGAGCUGUGAAUUAGCAUAGUAAAUACUAAAUUAUUUUUAUAUUAUAUUAGUUUUUUUAUUAAAUUUUUAUUAUUUUAGUUAAAUUUUAUAAAUAAGUCAAAUAGUUAAACGGAUUAUUAGGUGGGUCAUGCAUCUAUUUGACUCGCCAACAUGAUUAUUAAUCGUGUUAGAUGGAUCGUGUUGUGUCAAUUCGUAUACAUUCGUGUCAUAUUCAUGUUCCACAGAUUGAUCCAUUUAAUUAAAUAGGUCAUAUUUAGAUGGAAUUAAUAUGUGUUAUACCCUCAGGUCGACAUGACCUGUUUACGAUCCGUGAACACGAAUUGUCAGCCUUAAGUGUAGAGAACUAUGCACAUUGGCUCGACUGUUCCCUAGUCCCUAUACGGUUCAAGUAUCUUGGGCUACCUUUAAAUGGAGCCAAACCUUACCACCGCAAUGGUAGUCCGAUAAAACAGACCUUUGCCUUCCAACCAAGUGAUCAUGAUUCGAGUCAUGGUGGAUGCCGUGGCUUUGAUUAAAUACUGGGAUAAUAAUGAACGGAAGUGAGUUAUUCAAGGUUUGGAUGUGAGGUCUGAAAGGGGCAUUUGGUCCACCAACCCGUGGUGGUGCUGAGGUAACGUACUCAUCUAUUGAAUUUACCCAUAUGAUGGAGAGGAGGAUGUUUGUUGCCCAAAUUUUAUCUCCGAUUCGAAUAUUCUUCGAUGAGGUUUAGGGUGUUAUGGUCACAUCGAGGGGGGUAGCUACACCAGGAGUCUAUGGAGGAUUUAAUAACAUUGUUAAAAUGGAUGGAGACUAGACUUGCAACUUGAAAGUGUAAAUAUCUCCUCUUUGCGGAUCCCCUCACUCUAAUUAACUCGGUGCUUAUAUUCCUGCUCAUCUACUUCUUCUCUCUCUUUGGUUCAGUUCCUCCUCUGCCAGUGGACUCGCCUGUAAAAUAAAGUGGAGAUCGGUUUGCUUGUGGAAGGAAGCACUGAAUUUGUUCAAUAAUUGGUCUCUUAUCUGCAAAUAGAAUGAUCUUACUGGUUUUGGGGCAUGGUUGAGCCACGUCGACAACCUUCUCACAACUGUUGAUCAAAUCAUGGGUGCACCAGUAUUUCAGACCUCCAAUUCAUAGAUUGGAUAUUAUGAUUUGUGCAAAUGGAAUUCAUCUGAAACUUUUCCUCUCAGAUAUUCACCCUUGUUCUCUGUUUUUUUAGCAGCCUAGCUUCUUCUGUCUUUGGUCAGCCAGAGCUCUGCUCUUUGGUCAGCAGAUCAUAGCAGCUCUCUAUUCCUAUCUUUGCAAAGAUGCUGUAAUCCUUUUUCAUCCUCUCUGACUCUGAAUAAACAGUAGGUGGCCUUUUUUUGGCCUCCUUUUCAUCAAAAAAAAAAAAAGGCAAAUAUUCUCGGUGUAUCCUUCUCCUGUGUUAAACUCUUGUGAAUUUUCUCUGAGUUAUUUUUUUCCUCGGUAGACCCUGGUAAGAAGUCCUGUACUCUAUAUCACAAGGCAGCUCUCUUGCUUCCUCAGUGGUUUGGAUGAACCACGUUGACUCUAUGUAUAUCAAACUAAUUUUAUUUUCUAUUCUUUUCUACUAUCAUAUUCAGUCAUUUCUGGAGUUGUAUCAAGCAAAUCAUCUAUAUGUUUGCCACCUUUGAUCUUAGAACAUAGAGGAGAUCAGUAACUCCAACCGCGACGAUAGGCUCCAGUUGAUGUCAUAGAAAUCGUUAAGAGAGAGAAGAAAAAAAAAAAAAGAAAAUAGAAGAGAGGAGGACAAUAAUAAAAGAAAAGUUAUUUAAAUUACAUAGACAUUUUUAAAGCACAAAGUUGAAAAGCCUAAACUUACUGCUUUGAAGCUCACGCAUUCUCAACCAUGAUUGGAGAAUAUUUUGUCGAAACCAUAUUGAAAACAUAUGUUUGUAGACAUAUAUCUCUCAUCAAAUUUAGUACCAACUAUGAUUGCAUUCCAUGAUUGCGAUACAGUCUUUAAAAAAUAUCUCAUUUCAUUGCUACUUAUACAUAUUCCUAGCAAAUGUGAUCAUCAAAUGAGAAUAAUUAAGUACCUCUCGCACCGUGAUUGAACCAUCCAUAUCCUUUAUCUGCCUCCCAUUUGCGGUAUAUGCGUGCAUGUGUGAAAAUAUGAAAAAGCCCUGCAGACAAUGCAAUGCUUUGUACAAGGGGGAGCAUUCCUCCCCAAGUAUCCCUAACAUCUCUAACCCUGAUGAAGUUUGGUCUGCUCAGUUAUUAGGUUCAUAAUAUGUGAUUUUGUGACAGUGGCCGGAUUUGGGCAUAAAAAAUAUGAAUUUUUAAAGAGGCCCAAAUCGGAGCCCAACUAAAAAUGAAUAUAAUUUAGGCCCAAGGUCUGCCCCAUGAUCAUUUCUACCACGAUGGCAUGAGAGUGCAUGCUGAUAAAUAGGAGUCAUCUUCUAAAUUGGCAAGAAAAUACAGUAAUGAAUUGAAGUCGAGCAAAACUAUGCAUGUAUUAGUGGGAUGGUGCGGGUCUAAUCGACCUCGUUAAGUACCGGGCUUAGGCUGAAGUUUUAGGGCUUUCCCCUAGGUUGGAUAAGCUUGUCUUAUGGUUUUUGAAGCUUGGAUUUUUGCAGGCUACUCUAGGGGCUUUGAAGUCCUUGAAGAUAUGAUAACCAGGUAUGUUUAUAGGCUGGUCCAGCACAACAGAAAAGUCUAAAUAUAUCAAACCAAGUUUACGAUAUAAUUCGGAUGCACAUAGUGCUCUUCUUUGGUAUAAAACAAGAGAGCAAUCUUCAUGAAACAUCCAAUAUUUGCAUCAUUUUCAAAACACAAUCUGGCCAUUUAUCUAUGGUGCUACCUCUGUACAUCAGAUACCUCACAUGGGCCUAUGAGAUGGCCCACUAUCAGGCUACAUGCGUUUAUGGCUGGCCCAUCACAAAUCCUCAAAUUUCUGGCCGUUCAUCAUGGAUAAGGUGCUUGCGUGUUGCAUGGACCAGCAGGGUGGGGCCAAAGCUAUGUCCAACUUAAUUUGGACAAGAUUGCUACUUGGAAGCUAAAACUCGUCGAUCAAGCACAGAUCCCAAAUGAAGACUCGUGACCAAUUUGGGUUAGAUUUAGAUCUGAUUCACAUAAAAUUUAAUAUAUUUAAUUUAAUAUAUUUAAUAUAUAUAUAUAUAUAUAUAUAUAUAUAUAUAUAUAUAUAUAUAUAUAUAUAUAUAUAUNNNNNNNNNNNNNNNNNNNNNNNNNNNNNNNNNNNNNNNNNNNNNNNNNNNNNNNNNNNNNNNNNNNNNNNNNNNNNNNNNNNNNNNNNNNNNNNNNNNNNNNNNNNNNNNNNNNNNNNNNNNNNNNNNNNNNNNNNNNNNNNNNNNNNNNNNNNNNNNNNNNNNNNNNNNNNNNNNNNNNNNNAUAUAUAUAUAUAAACAGAGGUCUCUCAAUAGAGAAGCCUUCGUCCACUACAUGGCAGUAAUAUAGGACCUCCUUUGGCCAGGUUACCACGUAGAAGGAAAAAAAAAAGCACUCGCAGAAAAGGAACGGAGGCUGUCGCGCAUUGCCGUCGGAGGUGGCGCUCUAAUGCGUGCGAAGGGGGAAAGGCUUUUUGUUUUCGCUCCAUAGACGUCCUCCGAAUUGUCAGAAUAUUCUUGGAGCUCCGUCGAAGGGAGUCGUUGCCGCCGUCCGUCACCUGGAGCCAUGUCAGGCGAUGGCAAAGCUACGGUUUGAUGCCCGAAGAGGAGCCUCCUGAGCCAAUCAAGUCCAUCACCUAAGAUUCCCUAUUCGCCUGCUUCAUAGACUCCGGAGGAUGCUUCUCGAUCCGUGCUUUAUAAGGAUGUGUUCGUCUGCUUCAUAGGAUUUUUGUGUGAGUUGUAGCGGUGUAGCAGAGGGCCGAGGAGGUGGGCCUCGCGGCCAGGAGGCGGAGGGUGGCAGGAAGGCCAUCGGUUGGAGGGAGAGAGAGGAGGAGGCGGAGGAGAGCGAAGAAAGAGAGCACGAAGAUUGGAAGGGAUUCUUAGAACUGGAAUUAGAUUUGAGAGACAAGGCGCGGAGGCAUGUUGUUUGGAUGCGGGCGGUGCUCAAUGCCGAGAUAACACCUGCAGGAAGAAAUACGAGAGAGCGAGAGGAUGAAGGUAGCGGUGGAGGAAUUGGUGGAUAUGAAAAGAGUUAGGUAUUUAAAAAUUACAUCUUUUUCUUCUCAUCAUUCUCUAUUUUCUUUUCAUUAUUUGUGAAGAGUUCAUAAUCAAUUCAACUUUUUCUUCUUUCCUUUGUUUUUCUUGAUUUUACUCAUGUUUUCACCCAUUUUUCUUCUGAUUUUUCCAUCCUCAGGAGUCCCAACCGGCUUGAAGCAGCCAAAUAGGGAAGAUUAGACGAUGGUUGGGGUUUUGUGUUGGGUAUUUUCUUUCUUUUUCCAUUCUUGAGAGUCUCAAUCGGAUGGAAUAGUUGAACAAUGAAGCUUAUACGAUGGCUGGGGUUUUGUGUUGGAUAUAUUUUUUUUAAAGUUUAUGUUAAGAAUUUUACUAAGAAUCUUUAUUAUAAUUUAUUUGAAGGGUUGGAUAAUCUGGCACGAUGGCUGCCGUCGGAGUGCCAGAGCUUGAUGUGCCAACAUCGUGCAUCAUCGUGGCAGCCGUCGCACAUAAUUGGCAGUGGCCUCUCUCUCUCUAUCGUCGUAAGCAUCUGUGGAAGAGGAUCGAAAAGAUGGAAUUGGGGUGUCGCGCAUCGCAAUGGAGUGUCGCUUGGACAAAGGAAGAGCGACACCGCACCAGGGAGUUCAAGGUGAAGGAGACCAUGGCCAUGAUCAAGAACGUUGUAAUUUGAAGGAAGCAAUUCGGCAUCGACAUCCUUCUCGAGGGGGACCUUGGCCUGUUGGAGAUGGAGAAAGUAGUUUUCAUGCACGAGUUCGACAAAAAGGGCCACCCUAUGUGCUAUAACAUCCACGGAGAGUUCCAAAAUAAGAAGCUUUAUGCCAAGGUCUUCGGCGAUGAGGAGAAGAGGCAGAGGUUCCUCAAGUGGAGGAUCCAGUAUCUGAAGAAAGGGAUCAAGAGCCAAUUGGACCUCACUCCCGGAGGAGUCUGCUCCGUGGUCCAUAUCACAGACCAUUCUCAAAGACAACUAUUCCAAAUUCAUUGCCAAGAAGGUAUUUUUGAUAAAGAUCCCAUCUUUUUUAUAUAUUCCUUGAAUUUAAUCUAUCUUUUUAUGUCUCAAAAUUAGCAUGAAUUUAUAAUAUAUAUAAAAUAAAUUGAAUAGAAUAAUUAAAUAAAAUAAAAUAUUUUUUAAAUAUUAUAUUUUUUUAAAUAUUUUUUAAAAUAUUUUAUAUUUUUGUUUAGAAUAUUUGAUAUCAUCCGUAAUAUCUUUUAUAUUNNNNNNNNNNNNNNNNNNNNAUAUACCAUUUAUUGUACGGAAUUCUAAGCUAGUUUAAUUUAUAAUCUGGGUCAGACAUGGACUCACCACAAACCCUUCCCAGACGAGAUCUACUUCAAAUCUAUGGGUCCACAACUUGGACUCAGUUAGGGGUCAAAUCUAAAAUCAAACUAGAUUUGGACGUGACAGAAGCCAAUCGGACUCGGUUAAGGGUCCAAUCUAAAAUCAACCUAGACUUGGAAAUGACGGAAGCCAAUCGCUUCUUUUGUGAGGCUUACCGGUUGCCGCAAUUAUUUGGGGCUUUGGGCCUGUAUACAGGCCCAAAGAUACAUUUUGUGGUUAAACCCAAGAGAAAUAUUUUGUGCACCACGGCCGCGGCAGUGCAGCUCCGCAUGCAUCAUCCACGGUGAUUGAUUUUUACACGAAGUUGAUAAAAAAAAAUUAUUUUUUUUAUGCUGCAUCCGAUCUUGUGCAUAAAUCAAUCACUGUGGGCGACACCAUCGUGGUCCACAAAGUAUUUCUCUAAACCCAAACUCACGAGCAGGUUUCCGUCCGCUCCACACGUUGGAAAUUAUAGCCUCAAGCCCACUUGACAAUUUCUGAGCUAAAUUGGUGUAUAUUCUCCAAGUAAGAAGGAAAAAAUUAUCUUUUUGAAGCCUCGACGCUACCGCAACUGAAUUUAUAGGAGACAUUAUAUAUGGACCUAAUUUUGGUCAUAUAUUCAGAUUUUUCAGUGACAAAUUUUCUUUAGACCUGGAAGACAGAAUCCUUUUCUAUCUGGAAUCAGAAGCAAGCAGAUGAGUUAGAAGGUAUAAAAAAAAAAAAAUUAAAAUGAGAUGAGGUUUGACCAUGGGUUGAGAUUGAGCUUCGUAUGGUGCAGGUCUAGCCAAAGGGACCCGAACAAUCCUCUAAUAACAUGGGCCAUGUAAAGUCCAUAUCACUAUUGAUUUGGACUUCGAGCUAAUCAUUUAUUUAAAGUUUUCAGUUUUUUUUUUUUUCUUCUUCUUUUUCUGUGUGCAUGCAUAUAUGAACUUUGUUUUUGAUGGCGGUUGAUGAUAAUGGCGAACAAGGGAGGUACUUCAUUUCAUACCACAAAAUGAGUUUGUGGAUCAUAUCCAAUGAUAAUCUAAUGACCUACUCUGAGUUAUUCCUAUGAUUUAUGAUGCGCCUCCACAUGUGUUGAGGCAAAUGUUAUUUCUGAGGGUACUUGAUGCGCCCAUCCUAUACUUCAUCACGAUCCUCCAUGGUCUGAACUUGAAUGGCAAAAAUCCAAUCUUCCAAUCAUGUUGUCUGUGUAUCAUGUAUGGGUAUGUUUCCAUCUUUUAUACUCUAAUCAAUAUUUUCCCACCACUGCGAGGACUUGCAUGUCUUCACAAGAACAUCCUCCUAGCAUAUCAUGUUUUUAGCUCGCUUAAAAUCUCAAGCACUAUUUUCGAACCGAUGAUAAUUGAAGCCUCGUGACCUCAUGGACUUCGAUUGCAAGUCAAGUCACAGGUGCCUGUCUAGAUCAAUAUUAGACAUAGCAUUGAACCUUCAUCAAUUGCACUUGACGCUUAAAAUAUCCCUCAUGAAUGCCAUAUGUCCUGAUAUAUGCUGACAUGCAAAUAAUUUUAGCUUAGCAAUCAAACUAACAUUUAAUAUAUAUAGCUUGUGGGCAUGAGUUUCCACUUAUUCCGUAUUUGAUUGAAGUCAUGAGAAGAUGGAUGAAUGAGAUUAAAAGAAUGGAUAGCCUCCAUCCAUCAAUUAUUUCAAAAAGUUACAAGGAGGAUAGAUAAAAAAAGAGUUGUCCAUGCAUCCAAACACAUCAAUUUGCAUCAUCUCAAGUUGGAAGGAGGCAAGAAAGGAUGGAUUGAACAUUAAUAAAUAAAUUUUUACAUUGAUAAAAUUAUCCAUCAUUAAUUUUUGGAUAAAAAUAUAAUAUUUAUCUACUUUUUAUUCAAAUUAUUUAUAUAUAUUAUAUAUAAUAUCAAUCAUAUAUUAUUAAAUUUUAUUACUAAUUAUUUUAAUUUUAGUACAUAAUCUCGAUAACUAUAAUUAAAUAAUUAAAAUUAUCUUCUAUUUUUUUAUUUUAUUUAUUAUUUUUAAUUAACUAUUUGUAUAAUAUUAUUAACUAUUUAAACUAACUAUAGAUGAUUUAUUUAUAUAAUUAAUAUAUAUAAUUAAUUCAUUAAUAUUUAGUUUAUAAAAUUAUUUAUUAAAUUAAAUUAAAUUUAAAUUAAAUAUUUAUAUAAUUUUUUAUAUAAUUAUAGAUUAUAAUAGUUAUAAGUUUAUAAGUUAUUUAUUUUUUAGUAUAAAUAAAUAUUAUAAAUUGAUAAUAAUAAUAUUUUUAUCAAAAGGUAAUCUAGUUAAAAUAUUAUAGAAAUAUCAUCUAUCCUCUUUUUAAUUCCUCCUAACAAAACUGAAGCAGGGAUUAUCUUCAUCUAUCCUUCUAUGUUUAACUAAAUAUAUGAAAUGAUAGUUCUCCAUCUUUUAUUUUUUUAAUCCAUCCUUCAUAUCAAAAAGAGGGUUAACGUCGUCUGAUAGUUGGCUCAAAUUAUCCAAAAUAGUCCAUUCACGGGCCAUGCACCCAAAAUCCGAUGGAACAGUAGCUUUACCUCCUUCCUCUUGCUCUUGUAUAUCAAGAGUCUUGAAAGCAGAGCUAGGUCACCAUGUUUGCCCACGGUUUCCGGCAGCUUAAAUCCGGCUACAGCCGUGACCCAUCAAGGUGGUUGCCCACAUAAAUUGGGAAUCUUUGAAUUAUAGCAACUGGGACUGCUGGGAUUGUGAUUUGGGAGUCCCCACCUCAGAAAAUAUAUAGCUAACAUGUGAACUCCUCCAUUCUUUUUCAAACUCGAAGGCCUAACGUCAACCCAAAAAAUAUUGAUAACCUCCCGAAAUACAUUGCACAGGGGCCCCUCAAAGCAUCAAACCCCAAUAAGAAAAGCUUCAAAACAGUUGAUAAGAUGUCUGCCAGCUGGGAGAACUAGACCUAAAACAUGGCCGAGACAAGAAAUUUGGAACCAUGGGUUUGGUUUUGGAGCUUAGAGGCCGCAAAUUGUCAAACAACACAUGGAUCUAUUGGUGUACGUACAAGCAAACCAUAUUUUUUUUUAAAAAAAAAUUGCAUGCUAAGGACAUAAAAAAUGGUCACAUUCGACUAAUUGGGUCCUCUGAUAACCACAGCCCUAAAGUAUGAAAUAUCUACAAGGAACAAGCCGACAUGCCCGAGAACACGAAAAUUAUUGAGGAAACUAUGAAACCAAUGGAUUGGUGUGAAAAUGGUCACAGUGUGCAUUAAGUUAAAACUUAAUUACCAUCAACACCAACCUACUACGUUGGUAGUAUGUUGUGGUUAUGUUGUGUUUAUGGAUGCUUAUUUGCACUAGUUGUUAAUAAUACAAUUACCAAAAAAAAAAAGGGGGAAAAAAGAAGAUAUUUGUCGACAUUGAUUGAGGAUUAUUGAAGGAGAAAUGAUUAGAAAAAUCUCAUGAUGGAGCCUAAUCAAUCAAUAACAAUUCUUUAAUGAAUCAAAAGGUUUUGUUGGCACAGCCAAGUAGCUGUCAACAGGCCUCUCCCACCACUAAUUGUCGUGUGCUUUACCCAAGUGUACAUGUACAAACGUGAGAAGGUCGCCUUCCCAUUACUUUGUUACUUUGUCCUUAAAGGAGAUCAUGUCUUCCCACCAACAAUUAUUAUUGCCUGCCCCUCUGUCUGUUCCUUAAUUUACUUCUUGGAGGAGCAUGCCUAACUCUUUCAUCAAAGUCUUUUUUGCGUGUCUCCUUCUUGAAGGCAUGACUAGCCUUGGGGACUUUGAGGCCUUAUUCAAAGGCAUGCUUAUUUCGUGCCUGUUAGUUCCCAAGAUGCCUCCCACUUGGCAUUAUUAAAUUAGCCCACAGGAACAGCAUCAAGCGAUCGGGACAACAUGAGAUGUUCAUUUAGAUGAGGAUAAGAAAAGGAAGUGACAUGGUUGGCUAAACUAGAUUAUUACAAGUGGUCAAUUAAAUAAUAUAGUUCAGCUGAAGAGAAGUAUUUGGUAGACCAUCCAUCACUUCAUCAGAAUAGCUGGUUUCCCCAGCAAAGGGAAGGGGAAAACCAAAAGUUCCCAAGGGAGAAAGAGAAACUUCAUUUUUACAAAUAAAUAAUAUAUCUAAAUCAGUUCUUCUCUCCAAAAAGAACAAAAUUCAUAUCUUGCCUUUAAGUGAUUUCUUAUUAAAGCACCACGGUAGUGUUUUUUCUAAGGCUGUCUUUGGUUACAAGCAACUGUGAAGUCAUUGAGCUAUUAAUGUCAUCAAUCAAGUGGAGUUAAACUUAUAGUAUCCAUUUGCGACGACUUCUAUUACAUUCAAGGUGGUCCUUCCAACUGCUUUCUAUAGCUUCAACUAAUGACCAGCCUAACAAAGUAGGAAUUAUAUGCGACCGUCAGUUCACAACAGAGCUUAGAAGCACCAAAGCACCCUUAUUGAGAUAAAAUGCAUUUGAGUUCUCAUCUUCUCCCAAAAAUAUUUGAUUAUCCUAUGAUAUAACUGCUAUUGAAAUGUGCAAUGCAUUAAUAAACAUUGCCACUUUGCCUGGUCACAUAUAAUAGCAACCUUUAAAGGAACUCGAGCAUUGAAAUUGGUAUUUACAAGUGCCUUGCUUGGAAAAAUAAGGCCCCCACAGAUUUGGGAUAAAUAGCAUCGACCCCUACUGGAUUUCUUAUUUCUGGUGUGAUUGGUUUAUAUUUCAAAGCUCCAUUGCGGGUGUAAAACAUUGCUUAUUAACAUUUCAAGCAAAUUAGUAACCAAAAAACACAUUUCGGGCAAAUUAACCAAGAGCCAUCACCUACUAGCUGUAUUUAAUGGGGCAUCUCACAUGUCACAAAUCUCGGAUAAAGUCUUCUAAAAUGGCUUCUGUGGGCAAUGUAGCAAUCCACACCAACCCAUAUAUGAAAAUUAUCUUGAGCAUAGUCUCAAAAAUGGUUUGUGAUGUGCUGUUACAAGUAUAUUUUCAAUAAGUAGAUAUGUUCUCAUCUUUCCAGGACUGAUGGGACUCACAUCUACAAAAUGGUGGAUUCCUGCCUCACCUAUUUUCUCCAUCCAUUUGAUAUAGCAAGGUGCUAAGCUUUUUUGCUUCCUUCCUAUAAAUCACAUUAAAAAUUUAAUGAUUAAAAUGAAAACUCAAUAUAUUGAAGAGGUUCAUUUACAAUUAGUUUUAAAUUUUAAUAUGUGGAUUAAAAGACUCAAUUUUCUCCUUUGAAUUUGACAGGUGGACAAAUCUAGAGAAAUCUUAAUCUAAUAAAGUUGACGGUUCAAACAGAAUUUUCAUUUCUCCCUGUUCAAGUUAAAAUUCACUGAUCGACCAAUUAAGAUAUCUGUAAUAGUGUACUGUAGGAAUCAUGCCCAAAUGACAAUAUCUAGCAAGAUAUGGUCAUUUGAGACACGAAUUGAAGUUACAUACCUUCAGUUCUGCAACUGUAACUUGAUAACUUCAUUUCACCUCCAUCAAUCUGAGAAAUAGAGCUUCUUCUGUCCAUUGCUCUCCAUUAAUUGCAACAUUUUUUCAAAGAAAUUAUCAAUCAACAAUAAUCAAGGUUAACUCUGAUAAAAAUUUAAGUAACAAUAUUGUCAACUACGAAGAUCAAAACAAGUCAUUCUAUAAAGGCUCCAAGGGAAAGACAUGAAUACAUACACCUAAAAGUGUUCGUUCUUUCUCGCAUCUACACAGCAGCCAUAAGCUGCCAUCUGUUAACAAAAGGAAGAAUUCUCAACUCUAACUCGACAGCGGAAACAACAGAAUUUCUUCCCAAAUGAAACACAGACCAAAACCCUAGAGUCCUUCAGAAUACAAAUGUUAGACCCAUGUAGUAGGCUUAGCUCAGUGCACGACCAUGGAUCGCCAAAUCUCAUCUGCUGGACUCCGAGUUGAAGCUUAGGCUUGGUUUUGAGACCUGUGGACCCAAACCAAGCCAUGGCUGACUCUCCUCCUGUUUGACAGGAGCAACCAUUUCUGAAGAGCCAUUUACUUGAUAUGGUGCCUUGGUGUUGAUCCUGAGAAAAUUUAAAGGGUUUUUAUAUGAGAUUGAUAGAACAAUAGUCACAAAUUUGGCAACAAACAUCAUAAUUCAGCAUUUGUCAUAAAAGCGCAUUGUUGGGCAAGGAUUACCCACCGGUCCUUUCUUUUCUCAAGGAAUCGAUGGAGCGAUGCCCUUCUUGCUAUGGGGAGAUCUGUCAUUCAAAUAGCACAAAUAUUAGCAUCCUUUGCUGCAUGCUUGCUAGGUUAUUGGUUAUACUAUCAUAGACAGGCAUCUUGUCACAAAGAGAGAUUUCUUACUGGAAGCAUUAGGUUGGGCUGGCUUUUGAACUUGGCCUUGAGCCGUCACCGAAGGGUUAGCAGGAGUGGACACCGACACAGGAGUUUCAUUGGAGAGACCAUUUGAGUGGUCCACCGCUGCAGUGGCUUUAGAGGAAGAGGGAACAUAGCCCAAAUUUUGGGCAUUGGAGGUCCCCUUGCUUGCUAUCUGCAUCAGAUCCUUGGCCUUCUCAGCUGGAAAAUUGUCGAACACCAGCACCU